UACGGAGGGAGCUAGCGUUGUUCGGAAUUACUGGGCGUAAAGCGCACGUAGGCGGCUUUGUAAGUCAGAGGUGAAAGCCUGGAGCUCAACUCCAGAAUUGCCUUUGAGACUGCAUCGCUUGAAUCCAGGAGAGGUGAGUGGAAUUCCGAGUGUAGAGGUGAAAUUCGUAGAUAUCCGGAAGAACACCAGUGGCGAAGGCGACUUACUGGACACAUAUUGACGCUGAGGUGCGAAAAGCGUGGGGAGCAAACAGG
Molecule: ribosomal RNA, 254 nt
Filed under: uncultured bacterium
Lineage: Bacteria
Description: partial 16S ribosomal RNA
Rfam family: Bacterial small subunit ribosomal RNA
Source: RNAcentral